Molecule: regulatory RNA element, 64 nt
Organism: Salegentibacter mishustinae
Lineage: Bacteria; Pseudomonadati; Bacteroidota; Flavobacteriia; Flavobacteriales; Flavobacteriaceae
Rfam family: S15-Flavobacteria ribosomal protein leader
Source: Rfam
UAUCUUUGCCGCCUGACGGAAAAACUGUCAAUACAUAAAAAUCAUUAAAAUUAAUAUUGGAAUG